This is a long non-coding RNA of Ictalurus furcatus (blue catfish), 239 nucleotides long. RefSeq lists it as uncharacterized. The record is from RefSeq and is a predicted model, not a curated record. The transcript has 2 exons. Lineage: Eukaryota; Metazoa; Chordata; Actinopteri; Siluriformes; Ictaluridae.
CUCGACUCAGUGAGGAGAAGUACUCCAGAACUGGUGAAUGAGAACUAACGGUUGACUUUGGUUAGUAACGGCUCAGGAAGGAUGCUCAGGUGAAAAUCUGGUUAAUGAUGAUGAUAACUGAUAAUGAAGCAGGGAAUACCAACCUCCAUCAACAUGAAUUCUACCAUGUCGGAUCUGUUACUGUACAAUGCUUGAAAUGUUUCUAUGUACAAUAAUAAAAUUGAGCUAAACAAAAGGUG